GAUCUUUUUAUAGUUUUAUUUUUAUUAUUUUUCCCCUGUAUUAGUACUGCUUUAAAGUACAGUAAUUCAGUGAGAUCGUUUUGGUUCAGUUUCAUAGACAGUUCUAUUUUCAUGACUUGUAUUUGCUGACAAGGAAGAAUAAAGAAUACUGGCAGUAAGUUUUGGGAAAGGCAUGUGCAUCAGUGAAAUGUUACUUGUAUAACAAAUAACCUUUCAUAAUCUGCAUAACCAGUAGUUUCUGAUUUAUAAUAUUUUAAUAACUGACUGCAUUUAUUUUUGCCAGUUUAAAAUGUUUUGUGUUCUUAGGAUUGAUGUUUAGUGCAUAUUUUGAGUUAAAUGACUAUCUUAAAGCAGCACCAUAUCAGUUGUUUUUAUUCAUUUUCUAAAAUGUGCUGAUCCUAUUAAAAACUCCUGCUUAUCUUUUACAACAAAGAAAAAUAUUCAAAAAUACUGCCUUCAUUUUCACACACAGUGCUGAAGAUGCUGCAAGCACCAAAUCAUAGCUCAUAAAAUCAGGUCCUGAGAUAGUUACCCAUAAAGAGGAAUCCUUUGAGUGUAUGCCAUUGGUGAGCCGAUGAGCAUGGACCAUAGAAGGGCUCAAUGUAGAAGGUAAAAUUGGCAAAUCAUAAUUGAGAAAUAUGACUGUGUUCCCAUACAUAAUAUGGUAUAGGGUGUAAUGUACCUGCUCUUGAUCACUUUCAUUUUAAAGUGCUAUUCACUUAAAUGUUCCAUGAAUUGUUUAUUGCACCACAGUUUGUGUGUGUGUGUGUGUGUGAGAGAGAGAGAGAGAGAGAGAGAAAUAGGUCAGAUCAGUAUGUUGCAAGCAGAUCUUUAGAGCCUGUCAAGUUUUGGUUAGUUGUAGUUUCCAUUUGGAAAUGUAGAUGAAUGCUUGUAGAUAUUGGAGAUUGUUUCUAUCUUGUAAGAACUUUUCACUGGUGCUGUAAGCAUUUCAAAUAGCACCAGUCUUAACCUUUAAAUGGGAAGUAGAAAAGGUGAGCCCAAAGUUUACAGAUGAUUUUAAUGCUAUACAUGUUAGUGUAGUGAUACUUAGAAUGCUUUGUUUGAUGUUUAUUUCAGAAAUGCGUAUACUAGAAAAUCAUUUUAAUAUUAAAACUGGUGACUUAAUACUAGUUGUAAAGUGUUUUCUUAAAGAAGGAUCUUGGUACUUAAUUGAUAAAGUGGGUUUAGAUAGGAGUAGCAAGUGCUCUCGAUAGAGAAAGUUUUUGUUCACUUCAAUACUUUGUCAUUACAACCAGUUCUUCCUGAAAAUAGUUACAUGUCUAGUAAAUUGAUGUAGAAUUAACUCGCUGGAGAUAAUCUCAUUUUAGUUCUGCAAAUUCUGCCUGGCUUUAAAAUGCAUUUUCAUAAUACUUAGAAAUAAUUUGACUGAAAAUAACUGCUUUUUUAUUUAAUCAGUCAAUCAACUUUUACUACAAAUUUAAUUGAGGGAUUUUUUAAUUUAAUUGGUGCUUUAAAGAAGCAAAUAAAUCCCUGGGUUUUGUUUUCUUCAGUAAAUAUCCUAAAGAAACUCUUUAAUGUAUUUGCGAGUAUAUAUAUAUUUUCUUAUGCAUGCUCGAUGCAUUUUCGUCCUGAGAAAAGUGUUCUCUACAGAAACUACCCGUGUGUUAAAAGAAGAUUGGCUUAAAAUGGCUACUGUGAUGGGAACAGUGUCUUAGGGAGAUGCAGCUUGGACUUGAGGUAAAUUGAAUACUUUACAAACUGGCUUAGAGUUUUGCUUUAAUGUCAUUAUAUGUAAAAGGGCACAUGAUUAUUGUAAUUUUGUAUUCUUUAUGGUUUCCUUAAUUAAAAUAAUAAAUGUACAGUGAUUAC
RNAcentral lists this long non-coding RNA (1830 nucleotides) under Mus musculus (house mouse). RNAcentral describes it as "long non-coding RNA chr3:152234995-152236825". Lineage: Eukaryota; Metazoa; Chordata; Mammalia; Rodentia; Muridae. The record is from RNAcentral.